CGGGGGAGUCUGCAGUGACAAAGACGACGUACGGCCAGCGCCG
This 43-nucleotide ribosomal RNA is filed under the name Alexandrium margalefii. RNAcentral describes it as "partial Eukaryotic small subunit ribosomal RNA". The record is from RNAcentral. Lineage: Eukaryota; Dinophyceae; Gonyaulacales; Pyrocystaceae.